GACGGACGCUGGCGGCGUGCUUAACACAUGCAAGUCGAACGGAAAGGCCCUGCUUUUGUGGGGUGCUCGAGUGGCGAACGGGUGAGUAACACGUGAGUAACCUGCCCUUGACUUUGGGAUAACUUCAGGAAACUGGGGCUAAUACCGGAUAGGAGCUCCUGCUGCAUGGUGGGGGUUGGAAAGUUUCGGCGGUUGGGGAUGGACUCGCGGCUUAUCAGCUUGUUGGUGGGGUAGUGGCUUACCAAGGCUUUGACGGGUAGCCGGCCUGAGAGGGUGACCGGCCACAUUGGGACUGAGAUACGGCCCAGACUCCUACGGGAGGCAGCAGUGGGGAAUAUUGCACAAUGGGCGGAAGCCUGAUGCAGCAACGCCGCGUGCGGGAUGACGGCCUUCGGGUUGUAAGCCGCUUUCGCCUGUGACGAAGCGUGAGUGACGGUAAUGGGUAAAGAAGCACCGGCUAACUACGUG
This 468-nucleotide ribosomal RNA is filed under the name uncultured bacterium. RNAcentral's name for it is "partial 16S ribosomal RNA". It matches the Rfam family "Bacterial small subunit ribosomal RNA", at positions 28 to 507 of the family's 1533-position model. The record is from RNAcentral.